CUCAUCUGGAACUACAGCAACACAAAUCUACAAGGCGUGUGCAUCUUCCUCUCUGUGUCCAGCUACGGGCAAUCAGACAUUUUCAGUUAACCUGGGUGUUCAAAGUGUUCUUGCAUCUGCCACGUGCUGCAACACGGAUAACUGCAACUCACAAAAUCUGCCUGCUCCUACUCGUCAGUCAAGUAACGGCCUACUAUGUAACGUUUGUGUCGCCUCUCAGUGCAACACUACAUUACAGUGUCAGGGAGUGGAGGACCAAUGCUUUCAAUCAACGAUGACGGACGGCACCAAGAGUUUCCCAGCUUACGGCUGUGCAUCUAAAAACCUGUGUGCAGCUGCUUCAAGCCUGGGUUCUUUACCUUUCAUGCAGAGGGUUGGUACCAUAACAAGUCGACAAACCUGUAGUUCACCCACAACCACAACAACUGGUCCUCCAACCACAACCACAGCUGCCCCAACCACAAGAACACCUGCAUCAACCACCACAAUUUCUGCACCAACCACCACAAUCGCUGCACCAACCACGACCACUUCUUC
Molecule: long non-coding RNA, 537 nt
Organism: Oreochromis aureus
Lineage: Eukaryota; Metazoa; Chordata; Actinopteri; Cichliformes; Cichlidae
Source: Ensembl